UACGUAGGGGGCAAGCGUUAUCCGGAUUUACUGGGUGUAAAGGGAGCGUAGACGGAAUUGCAAGUCUGAUGUGAAAAUCCGGGGCCCAACCCCGGAACUGCAUUGGAAACUGUAUUUCUAGAGUGUCGGAGAGGCAAGUGGAAUUCCUGGUGUAGCGGUGAAAUGCGUAGAUAUCAGGAGGAACACCAGUGGCGAAGGCGGCUUGCUGGACGAUGACUGACGUUGAGGCUCAAAAGCGUGGGGAGCAAACAGG
This 253-nucleotide ribosomal RNA is filed under the name uncultured bacterium. RNAcentral's name for it is "partial 16S ribosomal RNA". It matches the Rfam family "Bacterial small subunit ribosomal RNA", at positions 524 to 776 of the family's 1533-position model. The record is from RNAcentral.